UAGUUUUUCUUGUGAAUUGAUGCUGAGAUACAUUCAAAUAUGAAUAAAGUGCUGGAAAGAGUUACUGUAGCAAAGAGCAACACUGUAGAACCACGUGUUGAGUGGGAAGAAUUUAACUUCUUGAAGAAUCUGAAGAAAAAGCAGAAAUUAUUAUUCUUACUUCAUUUUGCUGCCCUUUUUAUCAGAUGGAGAUGAAAAUCAAUUCAUUUUGCCUCCUUUAAUCCACUGGUUUCUUUUCCCACAUUUAGUCCAAUUUUUUUUCUUGACAUUCUAUUUUUUUAUCCAAGUGCUUUUGCACUCCUCAUUCCUGCCACUUCAGUCCACCACUACUGUCUCUAUACAGCAUUCAUCUGCAGCUUGAUUGUGUCAUCUCUUAGUUUCAUUUCAAAGAGGCUACACUACCAAUCUACAUUAGAUCACAACUCAGUAGUCCACACUCCUUCAGCUUAUCAGUGUCCUAUCUGACUUCUUAUUUUCCAAAAUGGAAUUGUAUACUGUCUUUAGACAGUCAUUAGUAAUCUCCAUCUCGGAGAGAUCUAGUCAACAGAAUCCUAUACCACUUCUGCUGAACAAAUAUAAGUACCUACUCUGGGAAGUGAUGAAUUGCAAAUGCUGUUGAGUCUUCAUCCUUGGAGAUCUUUGAAGUCUGACUGGACAUGAUCCCAGGCAACAUACUCUUAUGUGACCAUGUUUUGAACAAAGGUGUUGGACAGGAUUGAUUUGGAAUAAUAAUGACUUAGAAUUUUCUAAUAGUGCUUUUUGUGUAACCUUGCCAAAUGCCCUUUGGAAAGCUACAUAUGUGAUAUUAGCAGUUCUUUACACAUUUUCCUGUUAUGUUGAAGAAUUUUAAAGGCUCUGAUAUAUGCUGAGGAAGAAACCCAUUACUUGGGUGGUGUUUCCUUCCAUGGUGUUUGUCUGCCUGUGAGUUUUUAAACUAUGGCAAAUGUGAAACAUUUUCUUUUUCUUCUUGAGGAAGGCCUCAAAUAGAUUUAGUUGGCUACCUUUUGGAAUGAGAUGCACACAUCCAGGUCCAGAUAUUAUGCAUCAGCUGGUGUUUCUCUGAUAGUUAUGUGUGAAGGCUGACAGACUAAUGAGACAGCAUUGCCCUUAGAGAAUGAAACUGAUAAGUGCAUUAUGCUACAUGCUUUCACGUUUCUGAUUUUCUCUAUUCAAUGAUUAUUUCAACCAAUAUCCUAUGUCGAGCCUUGAGGUUUACUAGUAUUUAAUUCCAAGAAUCUCUCUUCAGUGUAGAUGCAAAAAAGUGCAAAUGUGUUCAAGAGUGCAGUAAAGAUUGGUAUGUAUCUUUGAAUAUUUCCAGUGACAAUAUAAUAGAAAAAAACAAAAACUAAUAAAAAACCAUCUAAUGGAAAAGAAACA
This 1377-nucleotide long non-coding RNA is filed under the name Coturnix japonica (Japanese quail). RNAcentral describes it as "lncRNA (ENSCJPG00005010463.1)". Lineage: Eukaryota; Metazoa; Chordata; Aves; Galliformes; Phasianidae. The record is from RNAcentral.